UACGGAGGGUGCAAACGUUGCUCGGAAUUAUUGGGCGUAAAGCGCACGUAGGCGGUUCGUUAUGUCGGAUGUGAAAGCCCUCGGCUUAACCGAGGAAGUGCAUCCGAAACUGGCGAGCUUGAGUACGGAAGAGGGUCUCGGAAUUCCCGGUGUAGAGGUGAAAUUCGUAGAUAUUCGGAAGAACACCAGUGGCGAAGGCGACUCACUGGACACAUAUUGACGCUGAGGUGCGAAAGCGUGGGGAGCAAACAGG
RNAcentral lists this ribosomal RNA (253 nucleotides) under uncultured bacterium. RNAcentral's name for it is "partial 16S ribosomal RNA". It matches the Rfam family "Bacterial small subunit ribosomal RNA", at positions 524 to 776 of the family's 1533-position model. The record is from RNAcentral.